UUUUAUGGAGAGUUUGAUCCUGGCUCAGGAUGAACGCUGGCGGCGUGCCUAAUACAUGCAAGUCGAGCGAACGGACGAGAAGCUUGCUUCUCUGAUGUUAGCGGCGGACGGGUGAGUAACACGUGGAUAACCUACCUAUAAGACUGGGAUAACUUCGGGAAACCGGAGCUAAUACCGGAUAAUAUUUUGAACCGCAUGGUUCAAAAGUGAAAGACGGUCUUGCUGUCACUUAUAGAUGGAUCCGCGCUGCAUUAGCUAGUUGGUAAGGUAACGGCUUACCAAGGCAACGAUGCAUAGCCGACCUGAGAGGGUGAUCGGCCACACUGGAACUGAGACACGGUCCAGACUCCUACGGGAGGCAGCAGUAGGGAAUCUUCCGCAAUGGGCGAAAGCCUGACGGAGCAACGCCGCGUGAGUGAUGAAGGUCUUCGGAUCGUAAAACUCUGUUAUUAGGGAAGAACAUAUGUGUAAGUAACUGUGCACAUCUUGACGGUACCUAAUCAGAAAGCCACGGCUAACUACGUGCCAGCAGCCGCGGUAAUACGUAGGUGGCAAGCGUUAUCCGGAAUUAUUGGGCGUAAAGCGCGCGUAGGCGGUUUUUUAAGUCUGAUGUGAAAGCCCACGGCUCAACCGUGGAGGGUCAUUGGAAACUGGAAAACUUGAGUGCAGAAGAGGAAAGUGGAAUUCCAUGUGUAGCGGUGAA
RNAcentral lists this ribosomal RNA (703 nucleotides) under Staphylococcus aureus. RNAcentral's name for it is "bacterial SSU rRNA". It matches the Rfam family "Bacterial small subunit ribosomal RNA", at positions 1 to 685 of the family's 1533-position model. The record is from RNAcentral. Lineage: Bacteria; Bacillati; Bacillota; Bacilli; Caryophanales; Staphylococcaceae.